AGUGCAGGCGGUUUUCUAAGUCUGAUGUGAAAGCCUUCGGCUUAACCGGAGAAGUGCAUCGGAAACUGGAUAACUUGAGUGCAGAAGAGGGUAGUGGAACUCCAUGUGUAGCGGUGGAAUGCGUAGAUAUAUGGAAGAACACCAGUGGCGAAGGCGGCUACCUGGUCUGCAACUGACGCUGAGAUCGAAAGCAGUGGUAGCGAACA
Molecule: ribosomal RNA, 206 nt
Filed under: uncultured bacterium
Lineage: Bacteria
Description: partial 16S ribosomal RNA
Rfam family: Bacterial small subunit ribosomal RNA
Source: RNAcentral